GCCCGUGUAGCUCAACUUGGCAGAGCAGGGGACUCUUAAUCCCAAGGUUCAGGGUUCAAGUCCCUGCGCGGGCACCA
RNAcentral lists this transfer RNA (77 nucleotides) under Candidatus Dormiibacterota bacterium. RNAcentral's name for it is "tRNA-Lys". It matches the Rfam family "tRNA". From Rfam's summary of the family: Transfer RNA (tRNA) molecules are approximately 80 nucleotides in length. RNAcentral also lists the same sequence under 1 other name. The record is from RNAcentral. Lineage: Bacteria; Bacillati; Candidatus Dormiibacterota.